This 494-nucleotide ribosomal RNA is filed under the name uncultured bacterium. RNAcentral describes it as "partial 16S ribosomal RNA". It matches the Rfam family "Bacterial small subunit ribosomal RNA", at positions 28 to 507 of the family's 1533-position model. The record is from RNAcentral.
GACGAACGCUGGCGGCGCGCUUAACACAUGCAAGUCGAACGGAAAGGCCUGCUUUCCCUUGUGGAUUGCGGGUACUCGAGUGGCGAACGGGUGAGUAACACGUGAGUGAUCUGCCCCCAACUUGGGUAUAAGCCUGGGAAACUGGGUCUAAUUCCCGAUAGGACUGCAGGGUGGUGCCUGUGGUGGAAAACGAUUUUCUAGUGGUUGGGGAUGAGCUCGCGGCCUAUCAGCUUGUUGGUGGGGUAAUGGCCUACCAAGGCGGCGACGGGUAGCCGGCCUGAGAGGGUGGACGGCCACAUUGGGACUGGGAUACGGCCCAGACUCCUACGGGAGGCAGCGGUGGGGAAUAUUGGACAAUGGGCGGAAGCCUGAUGCAGCGACGCCGCGUGGGGGAUGACGGCCUUCGGGUGGUAAACUCCUUUCGACCGCGAGGAAGCCACCUGGUUGGAAGGGUGGUGACGGUAGUGGUAGAAGAAGCACCGGCUAACUACGUG